This is a long non-coding RNA of Triticum aestivum (bread wheat), 1319 nucleotides long. RefSeq lists it as uncharacterized. The transcript has 6 exons. Lineage: Eukaryota; Viridiplantae; Streptophyta; Magnoliopsida; Poales; Poaceae. The record is from RefSeq and is a predicted model, not a curated record.
CUUGAUUAUUAAAAAAAAAGACUGCCGCAACCGCAAUCCCUAGUCCUCCCCCUUCCUCCUCUCUCGUACCACACUCUCACGAGCGCCGCCUCCGCCGCCGCGGCAUAUCCAGCCUCCUGCGCCGACCUCCCAAGUGUCUACGCUGGAUCCGUCGACCCGAAGCACUUAUUCACGUGACGUGUUACAGAAUAUAAACUAGAAGUGUGUUGCCAUGGCUCAGGAUGCUGUCGCUCUUAAUGGACUGAAUUACGAGAGUCAUAUGCAGUUUAGGAGGUCCGUCGUACCGAUUCUUAUAUAUCGUCGUCAACAGAAAGAGGAACAGGAACAUGAAGGAGAAGAGGAACAGGAACCAGAGCCGGAACCAGAACCGGAACAGGCAAAUCCAAAUGACCCAAUUUCUGUUGUUCCGGGCAUAGUCACUGUCGCUGGUGAGACAUUUUGCCACAUCAUAGCAAAUAAGAGAUUGCUUUUUACCCGUCGUCGAGGCAGGUAUAGAUUUGAAAUUGCUUUCCCCAACAUGAACUUAGACCUUGACAACCUCAAUGUGGAAAGACAUGGCUUGUUGGCUGCUUUCUACUGCCCUGUUCCUGCUGGAAUUGUAGAUGCCGUGCAUUUCAGCAAUCAAACUGCACAGAACCAAAAACUUAAGAUGUAUGGAUAUCAGAUUAGUGCAUCAGGACAAGUACAAAGGGAUCUAAUAAUGGCUAUCUGACUCACAUAGGGAACCGUGUGGGGCAAGAAUACAUCGGACAUGAUUGUACUCCUUCAAAGUUAUCGCUAAGUGGGUCACCCAUUUUUAAUGAGGAAAGACAGCUCGUUGGUAUAUCAUACGCGGAUUUUGGUAUAACCAAGGCCUUGAAUGUGGAGAAUAUAGCUUCCAUGCUUUCAGAGUUUUAUGAUGGAAUGGAGAACUGGCCUAUGUCAGAUAUCUUACAACGUAUCAGAGAUGUUGGUGAACAUCAAUUUGUUCCGCCUGCGGAUCAUAUGACUUGAUGGGCCUUAGUGUGAACUUGAAGGAAGGAAGUUAGAACAUUGGUUUUGUUUUCGUUGUUUACUCGGUUUGUUACCUAGCUUUAGCUUCUCAUUGACUGUUCCAAGUAGUCUACAUGUGCAAACACUGUAUGUGCCAUUUGGUUGGUGGUGUUUCCCUGCACGCAACAGAACAUUCUCUUCAGUCUGUAACUCUGUGUGCCUGUUGUGAUCCAAUCUGACGAAGUAGCUUACAUUUGAGAUCCAGUCUGAUGAGUAGUGUGACAAUGCGAUGUCUUGUUAUUGUGAACUGAGAUUAUCCAAAUCCAAUCAAGUUUUGAUGUGAUCCA